This 204-nucleotide ribosomal RNA is filed under the name Escherichia coli. RNAcentral describes it as "partial 16S ribosomal RNA". It matches the Rfam family "Bacterial small subunit ribosomal RNA", at positions 1 to 210 of the family's 1533-position model. The record is from RNAcentral. Lineage: Bacteria; Pseudomonadati; Pseudomonadota; Gammaproteobacteria; Enterobacterales; Enterobacteriaceae. RNAcentral also lists the same sequence under 1 other name.
AAAUUGAAGAGUUUGAUCAUGGCUCAGAUUGAACGCUGGCGGCAGGCCUAACACAUGCAAGUCGAACGGUAACAGGAAGCAGCUUGCUGCUUCGCUGACGAGUGGCGGACGGGUGAGUAAUGUCUGGGAAACUGCCUGAUGGAGGGGGAUAACUACUGGAAACGGUAGCUAAUACCGCAUAAUGUCGCAAGACCAAAGAGGGGG